Molecule: non-coding RNA, 195 nt
Organism: Planctomycetales bacterium 71-10
Lineage: Bacteria; Pseudomonadati; Planctomycetota; Planctomycetia; Planctomycetales
Source: Rfam
CAGUCCGGCGAAUCCGAAUGGGCGUUCGGCCACAUAUCGCCGAACAGGAAGCCGGUGAAAUUCCGGCGCGGGACCGCCGCUGUAAGCGAGGAGGUCCCCGGACGACGUGCCACUGCGGGCGAGAGCCCGCGGGAAGGCGUUCCGGGGGCCGUCCGACUCGCGAGCCAGAAUACGGCCCUUCGGACACCCAGAUGA